GGAAGGAUGGCGCCGUUUGCUUGCUCUUGGCUUGUCCGUGGCGUCAGCGGAUGUUGGUUAUGGGUUUGGGGCUCUGGGACCUUGACGGAGCUCUGCAUCCCAGUUUCCAUAUUUUGAGUGCUUGCCUUGCCAUGGGACGGGAAUGCUCGUUGCUUCUGUAUAUAGUGCUACGUGGGUGCUUGCUUCUAAGUAGUAGGGAGUAUGUCUCGAUCGAAGGUACACAAGGAAGUGAGCUUAGAUGAGUAGAAUGGAGAAUUUCACUAUUACUAGUCUGGUCCGAGCCUUUCUAGACUCGCUCAUAUGGGAGUUGCUAUUUAUUAUCAGUAUCUUAUUUUCUACGAGUAGAAUAGUCCGAGGUUUUUCACGAUGACCAGUUGCUUGUGCACUCGGUUCCAACCCAGUUGUUGUGGUCACUGUCACUGGUCACUACUCUACUCUUCACCUGCGCCACCUUUGCUGUGACGACGCUGCCUCAACCAUCCAUCUAUAUCCCAGCAAGGCCAGAUUCUCUCAGGUGUCAGCAUUAUGCUCCUAUCCCACACCUCUAAGGCUGGCCAUAGUGGGAGUAAUUUAGGUGGUAUCAUGUAUUUGGAACUAACAAACAUGUUAAUGUGGUAGUCAAUUAAAGAUGAAAGAUAGGGUUAGAGUAACAUAGGUUGAUACCGUAACAUGUUAAAUGUGUC
RNAcentral lists this long non-coding RNA (683 nucleotides) under Hordeum vulgare. Its description in RNAcentral is "long non-coding RNA (HVUL_LNC020815)". The record is from RNAcentral. Lineage: Eukaryota; Viridiplantae; Streptophyta; Magnoliopsida; Poales; Poaceae.